Molecule: long non-coding RNA, 601 nt
Organism: Macadamia integrifolia
Lineage: Eukaryota; Viridiplantae; Streptophyta; Magnoliopsida; Proteales; Proteaceae
Exons: 2
Source: RefSeq, a predicted model, not a curated record
AUUUUUUUUACGUGGAUAGUCUAAGACACUUCUUACGCCAUCCUGUAUGUUCGGUUAAUGCUCAGACCUUCACUAUAAAGCUCCGAUCGUUGAGGGGUUUUGAAACCUUGAUCCACUAGUCUCCUUCCAAAGUGUUGAACUGGAUUUCAGUUUUUAAGAGGAAAGAUGAAGACGACACUCUUGAGGUGGAGAGCAUCAACCUCUUAAGAGGACUAAAUAAAUGAGUUCAAAGCAUGAUGUUCUACAACUCAUCUCUGUUUUUUAGAAACGAUAGAACCUUCAUUGGUGUUGUCUGUGGUCGAUCGAAGCAAGGAAUGUUCAAUCGGGUCUAUGACCUCCUCCGUGAAUAGGGCCUUACAAAGGGUCUAAUUCCAAACACUGUGAAUCCUUCUCGAUUUCCGAUGAUGGAGACUUCGAGGAAUCAAAGUGGAACCCAAUUUGGAGUUGACUGAAUUCUUUGUUGGGUUUUUGUCGGAGGAGUUCCCAUCUGAGCAGUUUCAGACUAUUCUCGUUUGUAAGAGCAAAGCUUAUGCAAAUCCAUUGGAGACAAUAAAUAGAAUCUGAUGUUUCAUAGGUAAAAAUGACUUGAUUCCAUCGCUUA